Acanthopagrus latus (yellowfin seabream) is the source of this 3088-nucleotide long non-coding RNA. RefSeq lists it as uncharacterized. The transcript has 2 exons. The record is from RefSeq and is a predicted model, not a curated record. Lineage: Eukaryota; Metazoa; Chordata; Actinopteri; Spariformes; Sparidae.
ACACACACACACACACAGACACACACACACACACACACACGUGUUAUUAUUUUUUUAAACCUUAUCUUCAGACAAAUCUCACAAGCAGAAUAAUGACCAGCACAAAUUCACUUUUUGUGAAUUUGUUCAGUACAAUAUAACAAUAUUAUAAUGUAACAAUAUAAGAAAACAAAAAGCCACAGGAAGGAAAACAAACAGACCAAAGGAACGACUAUGGAGCUGCAGGUCCCGAGUGUACUGCAGAGUACUACUCUCUGUGUACUGCUACCACACCAGUACUGCAUCACUACUGCAGAGUACUACUCUCUGUGUACUGCUACCACAUCAGUACCACAGAGUACUAUAUCACACUGCACACUAAACUUCAAACCCUGGUCGACAGAGCCUUCUGUGUGACAGCUCCACUCUCCCAGCUGAAAUCAAACGGACUUGUCUGGAAACAGACUUAAAAACCAUCUCUCUACUACUACUACUACUAAUGAUAAUAACAAUAACAAUAAAAUAAUAAUAAUAACAAUAAUAAUGAUAAUAAUAACCACAAUAACAAUAAUAAUAAUAAUAAUAAUAAUAAUAAUAAUAAUAAUAAUAAUAAUAAUAAGGCCUAUCAGCUCAAGGUCCAGCCCCAACAAUCAACUUUUCUGUUUCUUUACCCAUUUAUCCUUUGUUUAGUUAAUGUUAAGUGUCCUUUGGUACCCUGAAAGGCGCUAUAUAAAUCAAUAUAUCAUUAUUAUUUAUUACUCCAUCAGUACUACAUCAGUACGACAUCAGUACUACAUCAGUUCUACAUCAGUUCUACAGUACCAGUGGGACAGUGAGAGUGAACGCAGGUGAGUCAUGUGUCAGUUUGGAUGUUUUUAUUUCAUUUAUAACCUCAUUAACAUUUCUCACUGUGUGUUCUUACAGCAGAGCAUGAUGGGAAACAGACAUGAACAGGAUGGAAGGCAGUGGCCGGCCACUAACCAGUAACCUGCAAUCAAUCAAUCAAUACUCAAUAAUCAGGAUGAACCAGAGAGCAGAGCUAGAAGAGAGGAAGAGACAACAUGCUCUACAUCGAGAGAAAGGAGACCAUGGUGGCUGUUGUCAUGGUAACCAGGGUCCCAUGGUUGCUAUGGUAACAGUAUUGUGAAGCCAGCAGCUGUGAAUGUCAGAGUCACCAUGGCAACAACAGGGAGCAGUCAGGCCCGGUCGACCUGUGUGUUAUAAAUGUGUCUGAUGAAAUGAAUCAACAUGAUUUGGUUUUAUGUUUCUGCUUCAUCUCAGCCAAUGAUGUGUGAUGAUAGUCUCCAUGGUAACAGCUGAUCAUACUGUAAUGAGGAGGAGACAGAAAAGCUUCCUGAACCAACUGACAUCAGAACCAGAACAGGAAGUAACAAACUCUGCUGAAUACUGACAGCAGGUUCGGUACAGUUAAAUCAAAAGUGUGAGGCAGAGUCCAGAACAUCUGAACUACGACUGGUACUGUCUCUUUAACUACUGAAACCAGAUGAAGCCUCGUCUGAUUGGUUGACACAGGACAGUGACUCGCCCAACAAACCAUCCUGAUGUGAACUGAACUCUGACUGUUGUGCUCACUAACAUUAGAUUCACUUAAUUCAGUGGUAUGAAGCCCAUGACAGGGUUAGCUAACAUGCUAAUCAUAAGCUUUGAGAGAGCCGUUGAGAGAGUAGUCUCCUAGCUAGAGCUAACUUGCUUUGGAGGGUCCUCACAUGUCUGAAGCAUCUUGUUGAUGUAGCAUUAGCACGUGUUAGACCUCCAAACUGUGGUUUCAUCUGUGUCUAAAAUGUCCUCUGGGACGAUGAACUCAAACAUGGCGUCACGUCCAAAAGUAAGAAGAAGAAGAAGAAGAAGAAGAAGAAGAAGAAACACUUCAACACAACAGCUGAUGUGAUAAAUUAUCCAACAACUGUUGAGCUCUGUAUACUGAGACUGUAGAGAAAGUGCACACUGGACUGAUACAACACACCACUGUUCAACUGUAUCAUACACACACUGGUCAGAAUGGGUCAGAACCAGUCUCCAAAAAGUCUCUUGCACCAGAAAGAGAAUAAAACUCAAAGCUAAAAUAAUCAACAGUUAGUCAACACAAGACUCAAGACUACAGAUGAUGAUGAUGAUGGUGAUGAUGGUGAUGAUGAUGAUGAUGAUGAUGGUGAUGAUGAUGAUGAUGAUGGGAACUGUGUGGCUGUGUUACUGGCCAUUUCCUUCCAUUCCCACUGAGACAGGAGGACAACAGGCCUGCAGCCCGCUGAGACAGCCAGAGCCGCACACGGAGCAGCAGAGCUCACAGAGAGACGACGGCAUUUAACAAAUCCAGUUUCAAAUCAUUUUGUAGCCCAGAGUCAGACGGAGAUCAUAUCGUGUGUGUUCAGUAUAGAGAUGAUGUGCUUAGCAUAGCUUAGCACAAAGACAGCAGAAGUUAGGCUACAACAUGUUUUCGUUACACUUCUUGUUGGGAGGGUUUAUAAUAAAUAUGAAGAAAUGAUGUCCAAUAAAAUACGAGCUGAAUUCAUCUAAACAACAAGUUUUUCUUCUCUGUGAGAGACGGACAUUUGGUGUUGUUCAGCUUGUGUUAGCGCAUAGCACUGCUAGCCUUCCUCCAUCAAAACAUUCACUGCUAUUUAAUGUCAUGCUAAUCAAAAAGAAGAAGCUGCUGCUGUUUAGCAUUAUUCUUAUAGCUAAAAAAUAACUUCUCAAACUAUUAGCUUAGCAAAGCACAGAGUUGUCAACCUGUGAAUAGCAUUUUGCUGAGACAUGUUAGUUGAGAGUAUUGAUUUUGGCAGCUGGCUCAUUAUGCUUAAUGCUAAAUUAAACGCUGCUUACUGAGCAGUGCUAGCUUGUCUUUUGGUCCAACAUCUGAAGUGAGCUGAUGUCCAUCUGUCCCAUGAAACUCUUGGACAGAACAAGAGGAUUGUCUGAUUGUUCCUUUUACCAAGUUGUUCUAAACUGUGGAGGCAAGAUGGCUGCCACUGAGACCCAAGCUGUCUGCUGGGCUCUGGCUGUGUGGGCGAACAGCGAGCGUUGUCUAGGAACCUUCACAGAGUCACGACUGUGGGGUCGCAGGAGAAUAAAUUAUAUUUACAAAUCUUUA